Molecule: long non-coding RNA, 1100 nt
Filed under: Homo sapiens (human)
Lineage: Eukaryota; Metazoa; Chordata; Mammalia; Primates; Hominidae
Description: long non-coding RNA NONHSAT158869
Source: RNAcentral
CACGUGAGCAGCCAUCUCAUCAGAGUGGAGAAUGAAACUUGACACACAGAGUGAGUGCCUAUCACUAUCUAAGCUUCCAGGUAAAAUAUGCAGCAAAAACCUUGGUCCAGAUAAUCACCACGUUCUGAAGAUGAAAAAUAACAGCUGUCUUUGGUACUCAUUUGCUUGUAAAAACUUUUCUCUAAGAAAAUCUUGUGAAGUCCUAUACGUUUGAAAUGUACUUGUUCCAUGAUCUUUGAAAUAAAUGCUUAAGAACCAUGAAAUUACUUUGGGUGAGGGUGGGGGGAUGUGUUGAUUAUUUGAUUGCAAACAAUUUUGUUCAUUUAACUAUUCAUUAACAUAAAAAGAUGAAAAAUUCUUGGAACAUAUUUUGCAUAGAUUUAGAACUUAAAGAAUUUAAUCAAAAGUAAAUAUAACCUUGAGAAAUUAAGCAAUUAAAUAUUAGGGAACUAAAUGCUAGACUAGUAUGAUUAAUACUGUGGGUAUUUUUUUUUCUUUUUCUUGUGGGGGAAGUCCUUGGUUAUUAGAAACUUGUAAGAUUACUAAGGACAUAACCUCAAGGGACUCACUUCUCAAUAUCCAAAAGGAGGAACAGAAAGAAAAGACCUCGUCUUAAAAGGUCUGGCUUAGAGAUGCUUAUAGAUAUAGGUUUGAAAAAGCAAUCCCCUAUAGAAGUAGGGAGGUGAGAGAAAACUCAGCAGCCUUAAAUAAGCAAAGGAAACUUUAGUAACUCUAGGAAAAGUAGAAGUGAUUUUAGCUCAAUAUCUCAUAGCUCUGUUCCAUAGGGCUGCGAGCUCCUUAAGAGCUAGCCUGUGUCUAAUUCAUCUUUGCUACUCCAAAGCCUAACAUAGCACCUUGGCAUAGUAGACAUCCAAUAAAUAUUUGUUGAGUGAAUGUUACCUAAUGUUUCUUGAGUGCUUAUUAUAUGUCAGGCUAAGUCUAAGUGCUUUACGUGUAUUAACUUUAAAUUUCAUGACAACCCUAAGGGGUAGAUACUUUUAACAUUGCCAUUUUAAGAGGAGAAAACUGAGACACAGGUAAUUUAAGUAAUUUGUUCAAGGUUUCACAAGUAGCAUGUGGCUCAGCUAGGAUUUGAACAU